ACGCAUUUUGAAGAAAAUAUACGUCUUUUUAAAGCCAAUUCAUUAUCCCCAAAAACCUUCAUAGGUAUACACAAAUGACAUAAAUAUCUACAAAAGUUGCACAAAAGGGAUACAAUCUUUAGGGAAAGGAAAAAUAACAUGAGAAAAAGAAUAAUGUCCCGCGCAUUGGAUAAGAAAUACUAGUUCUUGAAUACUCUUCUAUCAGCCUUCGCCCUCUUAGCUUUAUCCACUUCUUGUCAUUGGCGAGAUUCGUUGAUGAUCAAGCAAUUUCUGUAUAGCUGUGCCCUAGAUGCAACCGUUCAAAUCGAUCAAUUUCUUACUUGGCUUGCUUUAUUUCUUCUCUUAAUUGGUGUAUGAUUGAGGCUCCUUACACGAAAGUAAGCAAAUCAAGCAUUCGCCCGACCCCCAAAGGAUAAUGGAUUGGAUUAAAUAAAUAGAUAUUUAUUCAACACAUAAAUAUGAUUCAUCUGUAAUUGACUCAGGGUCAAUAAACGUCGGGCAGGUUUUCAAAUGGGCCCAAUAUCCCCUCGGGUAUUGGGUCAUUCUAGGAUCGUACCUAAAAUAGAAUUUUGGUUUCGCUCUAUCCUAGGUGUCUAGAGUGGAUUUGAACCAAGUUCCUAAGCGGACAACUUGGACUUGGAAAUACGAACAACCAUCAGAUGUCUCACGUGCUAAUAAACUAUUGUAUUUGCAACACUUUAUUUGGAGUUGAACAGCAGGGGCCGGGACAUCCAUGAAACCCCAAAACAAUUUAAUAAUUCAUGGGGGAUUAUGCAAUGAGAUGCAAUAAUUAAAUUACGUAAAAUCAAAACAUAUAAAUACGUAAGAAAUUUAAACAAUUAGUCAAAAAAUGAAAUCAAACUUUGGUUAGAUCCUAGUUAAAUUCCCCAGUGGAGUCUUCAUUUCUGUUUUACAAAAAUUUUGAUUUUUGAAAGUCGCCACUUAAUUUAUUUGAAAAGGAAUUAAGACAACCUUUAUAAAGUACUUGAACGAUUCAAAACAAGAAAAUAGUCCAAGUUAGAGAUUCUAGGUAAGCGAUUCCUAUUAACAUUCUAGGAAGUUUUUAAGGCACCUAAAACGUCCACUAACUUGCGAUUAUCCGAACUGCUUGAAAGUAUCUUUUGACUAACUUCAAAAAGAUUGAUUGUUGAAAUAUGAUUGAUUUUAGGAAAAGACUUGUGUAAAAUAGAUUUGGACGACUUAGUAGGGAUUUUAACUAAGUCUAAAUAAACUAACAACAAAGCAUGAAAAAGGAAAAGGAAAAAAUUAAAAGACUUAUGCCAUUGGACCCAAACCAAUAAGUCCUAUCCUAAUAUAAUUGGGAUUUUGGCCCACUUGCACCUUUCCUAAUCUAAAUGUUGGGCCUUGGCCCGUAACCUGUCCUAAACUAUUUUUCUAACCCGUUGGCCUAAAAUCUGCUCCACCUGUAUUAAAUGUACAACUUUGGCUUCGAGGCCCAAAUGAAUGAAUAAUGCAAUGAAGAAAUAAGUAAAUAAUAAUAAAAGGACAACAAUAAAUGAAGAAAAAUAAGACUUUCGAGUCUCUUUACCACUUUAAAGAUGGAACUUUAACCCAUUUUUCUUCUUUCGACUUCUGGUAUUCAUAUGCCAUGAGAUUACAUUUUUGGGCCUUCGAAGUUGACUCAGGAUGGAUGAGCCUCAUUGGCCAACAUCGAUAAUGCCACAACGGGAUAGAGUCCAUUUGGACUCGAAUGCGGGUUUGUGCGAAGAAAAGGUACAAAUAUUUAAUACAUGCAUGUAUAUACAUAUGAUAAAUUAGCAACUAAUCAUGUUGAAAAUUUUAUGAUAUUAUAAAAUAUACUCACACACAAAUUAAAAAUAAAAACAAUGAUUCAUGAAAAAAAAGAUAAAGGUAAAAAUAGCAAAUUCUCAUGAUUUCGAGUAACUGAAGUUAAGCAAUAUUAUUUUAAGGCUACAUCAAAAUUUGGUAGAGUAAGGACAUGAAUUGGACACCUAAAAAUAUUAGUGAAUAAACAAGGGAGAGGGGUAGUUAACAAGUGAGAACACAAGCAAACAAAGAACAAGUAAAUUUGUAUGCCAAAAGAAUCUCAUAUCAUAAGAGUUAUUACCUUGAACAAACACGCAAUGGAUUAACUGUAGGUUAAUAAAACUUGAACAAAACCAUGAAUUUCAAUCACAACAAAUAAUAUUUAUACUACUAAUCCGAUGGGCGAAAGGACUACAAUAUGUUGUCUUGUGUUCUAUAUGAUCACCAAAGUAAAAAUUCAAUGAAAAGAAUCAACAAAAAAGCUGCAUUAGUCAAGAAGGUUUUCAAACUUUCUAUCCAAACUUUCAAUUAAGCGUUAAGAUUACACCAAAAUGGAACUUAUCAAACAAAAAGAACUGGUGAUAAUAAACAAAACUUAAGAUGUCUGAAUGAAAAUAAUUAGUUAAAUUUUGAUCCCAUCAAGAAACUAAAACUAAAAUCAGUAGUUGAUACGUGAAAACCAAAGAGGAAUAAAACCACAGAAUCUUUUAAAUAAUCAGGAUUAAGUAUUAAGAAAAGGAUCCAUUUAUAUGAAAACAAUAUUCAGAUAAAAUUUAAGACUACACAAGAUAUCGAAAUGUAUUAUUUUCCUUUUAUACAGCUAGGCUACAAGAACAUCAACACACUCAAACCAGGACCUCAAAAACAUUAUUACGAAGCCAAGAGAAUGUUAACAACAUUCAACGUCAAGAGAAAACAAAACAAUUAUGAGUGAAACAAAUCAAGAACAUACUAUGCAGAAUUUAGUCAAGAUGUAAUUUUUCAACCAAGUAGUUAAACAAAUCGUGAUAUAGAGCUCGAGUCAAUCAAUUUUCGAUCAAUAAGAUAUUUUACAUUCGAGCAGGACAAGACGAGGAAGAAAUCAUUUUUAAGAUUUUAUACUUUAGCAAGAUAAACAACACGAAAAGAUUCACUAAAAACACACAACGAGACAUAUUUUACAGCAACUUACAAACAACACAAAAAGAGAUUAUAACUAUACGAUUAUCGCAGCAAGAAUAUCAUCGCAACUAUACCUAUGGCCUUCGAGGCCUCUACAGCAAGCAAUCCCAGCAUACAACAACUAUGAUUACUAAACUAUAGAGAAAGGAUUAAGAAGAAAACAAUGGCGAAUUAAAAGUAAAGGAGUUUACCUUGUUCGAGGCAACAAAAUUGUACUCGAGCUGUUAUCGAAAUCUCCUCGCCACCACCGAAAGCCAAGAUUAAAUCCAAAACUAACUAAGAGAAAUUUCAAUUGUAAUUUCCUUUUCCUCGAAUAUUUUGAAGUUUAUUCCUCAAAGGCCCUUUUUCUUUUUUUUUUCUCCUUCCUCCUCCUUUUCAAUGAAAACAGCAAGAAUAUCUAUAGGUAAAGCUUUAGGAUCCAGUUUUUAUUCCUUUCGAGGUGGGAUGGGAAAAUGGAUAGAAAUUCGAGGAGAGGAUUUCAAAAUUUCAAAAUAGGAUUAAUAUCCACCAUCCACCUAUGUACGAAUCGGACAAUGGUAAGAUAUUAUACCAUUGAGAGAGACAGUUGGACAAUUUCUAGGCUCUUCUAGAAGCGGACAGCUCAUCAAUCGCACAUAAAUGAUGAUUUUAGGACUGCAUCGGUUGUCAAUGCAUGAUGUUAUGUUUAUCAUGGGUUCAGGUCGGCAGGUCUGGUGCGGGUCACCGUUUAUGGUGGGCGUUGGAACUAGUCAGUUCGGAGAUUACUGGUUGAAAUUGUCGUUAUU
This 3713-nucleotide long non-coding RNA is filed under the name Capsicum annuum. Its description in RNAcentral is "long non-coding RNA (CANN_LNC016134)". Lineage: Eukaryota; Viridiplantae; Streptophyta; Magnoliopsida; Solanales; Solanaceae. The record is from RNAcentral.